Molecule: unclassified non-coding RNA, 377 nt
Filed under: plant metagenome
Description: partial contains 5.8S ribosomal RNA, internal transcribed spacer 2, and large subunit ribosomal RNA
Rfam family: 5.8S ribosomal RNA (bases 1-105)
Source: RNAcentral
GAAAUGCGAUAAGUAAUGUGAAUUGCAGAAUUCAGUGAAUCAUCGAAUCUUUGAACGCACCUUGCGCUCCUUGGUAUUCCUUGGAGCAUGCCUGUUUGAGUAUCAUGAAAUCUUCAAAGUAAAUCUUUUGUUAACUCAAUUGGUUUCUACUUUGGUAUUGGAGGUCUUUGCAGCUUCACACCUGCUCCUCUUUGUUCAUUAGCUGGAUCUCAGUGUUAUGCUGGUUCCACUCGGCGUGAUAAGUUAUCUAUCGCUGAGGACACUGUAAAAGGUGGCCAAGGUAAAUGCAGAUGAACCGCUUCUAAUAGUCCAUUGACUUGGACAAUACUUUUAUGAUCUGAUCUCAAAUCAGGUAGGACUACCCGCUGAACUUAAGC